CUUCCUGAAUGAGGGACCCCUCGCUUUUGAGAAGAGUCCAACUUUUAAGUUCUGGUCAUGGCCUGGUCCUUUGGUUCUGUAGGGAGGAGAAUCUUUGGUUCUGCAGUCAUUUCUAGUCAAUAUUUCUUCUUCGGUGCAUGCUCUGGGCACAUGGCUUUGCAAACUUUCUGAAGGGAAAUUCUUAAUCACCCUGUUGAUAAGAUGGGGUCAGUUGAACUGGUCCCGGAGGGCCCAUAGUUACAUGCUGAGUGAACAGUUAGAUGUAGAAAUGAGGGAUAGGAAGAAAGUUAGAAAUCCAACUGAGUCUCUAGCUUGAAGAUCUGAAAUAGGGAAUGUGGGCAGGAGCAGAUACUUAUGGAGAAAUUGACACUUUUUGAGCUCCUACUAUGUGCCAGAGUUUGCUAGACACUUAGCAUAACUGUUGGCAUUUAGGCAGUCAAGAAAUAGCAUUCUUAUUUUUCUCCCCAACUUGGAAACCAUUGAAGGAUACAACACAAGAGUUAGUCACAUGGAGAUCAAAAUCUCUGGCCAGCAUUGAUCUUGGGUUUGGAUUGACAAUUAAACUCAAGACACCAUAGGCUUCAUCUGGCAUUGUUUAGCUUUAGGAAAGGCUAUGGAUACAAUAACAGCAUGAAUGGACCAGCAGAGUAAAGUCCCAUGACGCCCAGGCACAGCUUCUGAGGUCCCCUACACUCUGCACUUGGAAUGCGAUGAAGGGAUUUUACUAGGUGAAGAUUCCUUUGUCAGCUGCUCUUGGAGCCUGUACUCCAGCACCAGCUCCACUGAAGUUUAUUAUAGGAAACACUGGCAUUUGUCAUUUUUCCAAUAUUUGGAGCUUGCUGCCUUAAUAAAUGCACAUAUCAGAUGAUGCUCUCUCCCUGUCUGAUGGGCGGAUGCUGUUGGGCAGAAGAAGGUCACAGUGAUGUUAAAUUUGCUGCUGAGCAAAGGAUCAAAGUGUAAAUGGAAUCCUGAAAGCUGGGAAAUGAUUCCAAAGCACAGAGGCAACAAUCCUAAACACUUGAGGUCUUUGGACGGAAGUGGUGCUUCAGAACUUUCAAGAACCAUGGCUCUGCUGCCCUGGUAGGAACUUUAUAUUGAGAAGACACAAAGAUAGUGCCCAUUUUGCUUUGCAUCAAAAUUGUGCCCAGCAUCUGUUACAUAAACAGGGUGAAUAGCUACAGGGUUCCCAGAUUGUGAAGGAAGCAGCGAACCCGCUUCCUCCUCACUAGCCAGCGUAACUGACAGCACUUAGCUCCCUGCAUCCUUGCUGCCUCGGUUCUGAAGGGAAGCAUUGUGGUGCGGCCUUCCUGACACUGAGGUGCUGACAACAGGCAGACCUAGGCAAGGAGUGUCAUCAGGAAGAGAGCAGAGGAAGGAAGCCUGGUGCUGUGAGAAUGAAGAUAAUAAAG
RNAcentral lists this long non-coding RNA (1409 nucleotides) under Equus caballus (horse). RNAcentral's name for it is "lncRNA (ENSECAG00000039859.3)". Lineage: Eukaryota; Metazoa; Chordata; Mammalia; Perissodactyla; Equidae. The record is from RNAcentral.